Molecule: ribosomal RNA, 497 nt
Filed under: uncultured bacterium
Lineage: Bacteria
Description: partial 16S ribosomal RNA
Rfam family: Bacterial small subunit ribosomal RNA
Source: RNAcentral
GAUGAACGCUGGCGGCGUGCCUAAUACAUGCAAGUCGAGCGAACGGACGAGAAGCUUGCUUCUCUGAUGUUAGCGGCGGACGGGUGAGUAACACGUGGAUAACCUACCUAUAAGACUGGGAUAACUUCGGGAAACCGGAGCUAAUACCGGAUAAUAUUUUGAACCGCAUGGUUCAAAAGUGAAAGACGGUCUUGCUGUCACUUAUAGAUGGAUCCGCGCUGCAUUAGCUAGUUGGUAAGGUAACGGCUUACCAAGGCAACGAUGCAUAGCCGACCUGAGAGGGUGAUCGGCCACACGGGAACUGAGACACGGUCCAGACUCCUACGGGAGGCAGCAGCAGGGAACCUUCCGCAAUGGGGGAAAGCCUGACGGAGCAACGCCGCGUGAGUGAUGAAGGUCUUCGGAUCGUAAAACUCGGUUAUUGGGGAAGAACAUAUGUGUAAGUAACUGUGCACAUCUUGACGGUACUUAAUAAGAAAGCCACGGCUAACUACGUG